This 253-nucleotide ribosomal RNA is filed under the name uncultured bacterium. Its description in RNAcentral is "partial 16S ribosomal RNA". It matches the Rfam family "Bacterial small subunit ribosomal RNA", at positions 524 to 776 of the family's 1533-position model. The record is from RNAcentral.
UACGGAGGGUGCAAGCGUUAUCCGGAUUUACUGGGUUUAAAGGGUGCGUAGGCGGGCUGUUAAGUCAGUGGUGAAAGAUUCGAGCUUAACUCGGAAACUGCCAUUGAUACUGAUGACCUUGAAUACAGUUGAGGUAGGCGGAAUAUUACAUGUAGCGGUGAAAUGCUUAGAUAUGUAAUAGAACACCGAUUGCGAAGGCAGCUUGCUAAACUGUGAUUGACGCUGAGGCACGAAAGCGUGGGGAGCAAACAGG